CGCUAGUAAUCGCGGAUCAGCAUGCCGCGGUGAAUACGUUCCCGGGCCUUGUACACACCGCCCGUCACACCAUGAGAGUCGGGGACACCCGAAGUCCGUAGCCUAACUGCAAGGGGGGCGCGGCCGAAGGUGGAUUCGAUAAUUGGGGUGAAGUCGUAACAAGGUAGC
Molecule: ribosomal RNA, 168 nt
Filed under: uncultured bacterium
Lineage: Bacteria
Description: partial 16S ribosomal RNA
Rfam family: Bacterial small subunit ribosomal RNA
Source: RNAcentral